CCGAGUGAGGGCUCACGCCCGACCUCCAACCCUUUGUGAACGCAUCUCGUUGCUUCGGGGGCGACCCUGCCGGGCGCCCCCGGAGGUCCAUUGAACACUGCAUCCUUGCGUCGGAGUCAAAGUUAAUUAAACA
This 133-nucleotide unclassified non-coding RNA is filed under the name uncultured Passalora. Its description in RNAcentral is "sequence contains ITS1". The record is from RNAcentral. Lineage: Eukaryota; Fungi; Ascomycota; Dothideomycetes; Mycosphaerellales; Mycosphaerellaceae.